This 794-nucleotide transfer RNA is filed under the name uncultured cyanobacterium. Its description in RNAcentral is "partial miscellaneous RNA". The stretch from base 257 to 329 matches the Rfam family "tRNA". Lineage: Bacteria; Bacillati; Cyanobacteriota. The record is from RNAcentral.
CAGGGAGACAUCACUGAUUUUGAUGCCUGAAUAAUUUAUUUUUAGGCCAUAAUCCUGUCACCUUAGGUCGAUCGGUACCUCAGUUCUAUAUUUCAAAAACUAAUAAAUUGUGUUUUGGAAAUAUUAAAUUCAGUUCCUAAACUUUGUCUAGGUCACACCCAACAAGGGUCCCUGGGCCAUUAGCUCAGGUGGUUAGAGCGCACCCCUGAUAAGGGUGAGGUCCCUGGUUCAAGUCCAGGAUGGCCCAUUCGGUGUUGGGGGUAUAGCUCAGUUGGUAGAGCGCCUGCUUUGCAAGCAGGAUGUCAGCGGUUCGAGUCCGCUUACCUCCACUGAUCUAACUCCUGAUAACGAAGCCUAAGGAGAACCUGUUAUAUGUGAUCUAGAAUUUGUUCUUUAUGAAAGAACCUAGCUUCUUGUCAUUCCUGCAAAACUUAUUUUUGUAUGGCUGAUAGGACGCUGGGCUCCCUGCAAUAGAAGUUGCAGAGAAGUUCAGUAGAACCUUGAAAACUGCAUAGGUGAGUCUGGAAAGAAUAAAGCAUCUCAUGGAUGCAUUAUUCUUUUGAGUCAAUAUCUAGCCUUCUGAAUAACUCAGGAACGUUAGAUCGGCUUGAAAUUAUAAUGUUUAAUUCUUGAGCAAGAGCUGAGACUCUAUAACGCUCUUUUAUUGUUUUAUCAAUGAGAGUCAGAUUUUUAAUUUACUCUUUUGCUUUGUUUUUAGUUUUUCUAAACUGAAUGCAAAACAAAUAUAAAUUAAAGAGAAAAGUGUUAACAACACAGGCGUUCUAGAGAUUAAU